AGGAUAAACGCUGGCGGCGUGCUUCAGGCAUGCAAGUCGAACGGACACUACGGUGUCAGUGGCGGACGGGUGAGUAACACGUAAGUAACCUGCCCGGAAGUGGGGAAUAACUAGCCGAAAGGUUGGCUAAUACCGCAUAUGAUGGCUCCUCCCUGGAGGGGUCCUCAAAGGCCGAAAGGUCGCUUCCGGAGGGGCUUGCGGCCGAUUAGCUAGUUGGUGGGGUAAUGGCCCACCAAGGCAACGAUCGGUAGCUGGUCUGAGAGGACGGUCAGCCACACGGGGACUGAGAUACGGCCCCGACUCCCUACGGGAGGCAGCAGCUAGGAAUCUUGGGAAUGGGCGAAAGGCCUGACCCAGCAACGCCGCGUGGGCGAUGAAGGCCUUCGGGUACGUAAAGCCCUUUUGCGAGGGGAAGAUAGAUGGACGGUACCCUGCGAAGUAACGCCGAACGGCCUAACUACGU
RNAcentral lists this ribosomal RNA (463 nucleotides) under uncultured soil bacterium. RNAcentral describes it as "bacterial SSU rRNA". It matches the Rfam family "Bacterial small subunit ribosomal RNA", at positions 26 to 506 of the family's 1533-position model. The record is from RNAcentral.